CGUUACGAGAAGUGUGAUCGUGCGGACGAAUGGAAUUUGAGAAGGAGAUAUAAGUUAAUGAAGAUAGAAACUAGAAAAAGAGUGUG
Melitaea cinxia (Glanville fritillary) is the source of this 86-nucleotide long non-coding RNA. RefSeq lists it as uncharacterized. The record is from RefSeq and is a predicted model, not a curated record. The transcript is spliced from 3 exons. NCBI's taxonomy places the organism in Eukaryota, Metazoa, Arthropoda, Insecta, Lepidoptera, Nymphalidae.